UUUCCGUAGGUGAACCUGCGGAAGGAUCAUUACUGAGUGAGGGCCCCUCGGGGUCCAACCUCCCACCCGUGUUUAACGAACCUUGUUGCUUCGGCGGGCCCGCCUCACGGCCGCCGGGGGGCAUCUGCCCCCGGGCCCGCGCUCGCCGAAGCCACCUGUGAACGCUGUCUGAAGUAUGCAGUCUGAGACAAUUAUUAAAUUAAUUAAAACUUUCAACAACGGAUCUCUUGGUUCCG
RNAcentral lists this unclassified non-coding RNA (236 nucleotides) under plant metagenome. RNAcentral describes it as "partial contains small subunit ribosomal RNA, internal transcribed spacer 1, and 5.8S ribosomal RNA". The record is from RNAcentral.